Molecule: ribosomal RNA, 440 nt
Filed under: uncultured bacterium
Lineage: Bacteria
Description: partial 16S ribosomal RNA
Rfam family: Bacterial small subunit ribosomal RNA
Source: RNAcentral
CCUACGGGAGGCUGCAGUGGGGAAUAUUGCACAAUGGGGGAAACCCUGAUGCAGCGACGCCGCGUGAGUGAAGAAGUAAUUCGUUAUGUAAAGCUCUAUCAGCAGGGAAGUAAAUGACGGUACCUGAGUAAGUAGCCAUGGCUAACUACGUGCCAGCAGCCGCGGUAACACGGAGGGGGCCAGCGUUAUCCGGAUUUACUGGGUGUAAAGGGAGCGUAGACGGCAGUGCAAGUCUGGAGUGAAAGGCCGGGGCUCAACCCGCGGACUGCUCUGGAAACUGGACGGCUGGAGUGCAGGGGAGGUAAGUGGAAUUCCUAGUGUAGCGGUGAAAUGCGUAGAUAUUAGGAAGAACACCGGUGGCGAAGGCAGCUUGCUGGACUGUAACUGACGUUGAGGCUCGAAAGCGUGGGGAGCGAACAGGAUUAGAUACCCUAGUAGUC